CACCAUGUGGAACUUACUGUCCUCCCAGGACGAGUUUGAUGGUUUUCUUCCCAUCAGAAGCAUGAGGCCAUGCUCUGGGGUCAGGAUGUCAGUGACUUACAGAUGACACGGAGCACUGAAGCCUGCGUGUGAAUCAGGUCUUGGAAGAGGCUGUGCUCCGUUUGCCGCACAGACACUUUCACUCUCUCAGAAGGGAGGUCCUCCUGCACGUAGCCAUGCAGUUGGUGUUUUCCAGGUGGCUGCUGUGCACCGGAUGUGUGCCAGUGCUGCAAAACACGUGUCCUUGUUGUGCUUCCUCUAGAGAUGCAUCUGCUGAUGUAAGCGAAGCUGCUAACAUGUCCCAGCAUGCACAAGAUAACAGAGGCUUGAUAAACCCAAAAGGCUCCUUGUUAAACAAGUACCUGGAGCUGAGCUGAUGCUAGUGGUUUCCAUUGUGCUGGGACCAGGAGGAAAUGAACUGUGUCAGCAUGUUUGUGAGUGACUAACUACUGUUUCCCAUGGAACAAAAGAUCUGAGAGUUUACAGAUGCGUUUCCAGGUGUGAUUUAGUCAAAGCAAGCAAGCAGAGUGUUUCUCGAUAAAAAGACAACAGAUCUCUUCCAAAG
Lagopus leucura (white-tailed ptarmigan) is the source of this 604-nucleotide long non-coding RNA. RefSeq lists it as uncharacterized. The record is from RefSeq and is a predicted model, not a curated record. Lineage: Eukaryota; Metazoa; Chordata; Aves; Galliformes; Phasianidae. The transcript is spliced from 4 exons.